RNAcentral lists this non-coding RNA (45 nucleotides) under Trichobilharzia regenti. Lineage: Eukaryota; Metazoa; Platyhelminthes; Trematoda; Strigeidida; Schistosomatidae. The record is from RNAcentral.
AUUCAGAUGACGAGUCCCAAAUAGGACGAAAUGCACAUUCAGUGU